Molecule: long non-coding RNA, 1958 nt
Filed under: Daphnia pulex (common water flea)
Lineage: Eukaryota; Metazoa; Arthropoda; Branchiopoda; Diplostraca; Daphniidae
Description: uncharacterized LOC124192771, transcript variant X5
Source: RNAcentral
ACCAUGGCUUAAGAUGCCAAAGAUGGCCACGACCGCCACGUAAAUGUUAACUCUGCCAUAGACAUUGAGUCUGAUUCACCCAACUUUGCAUUAGAAGUAUACAAACCAUAUCGGUUUUGAUUAUGGCGAGCAUUUAGCAAAUAGGUCCGUUCACGCAGUUUUCUUUGUUUCUCGAUUGUACUGUGUUAUCGGGGGCAUUCCUCCUACACGUUGUUGAAGCGAAGCAGUCAAGUCAAGAAAACGUGCGUGUCAAAAUGUCAACCCAGGAUUAUCCCAUCACAUUUGUGUAAAGUUAUGUUUCACCUGCUUUCGAUAUUCAAGUUCUUUAUGCUGAUAAAGUGAUAGAACAAUAGUUUUUCCUGUCUUUUUAUAGGGACAACAGCUCAAAUUAAAGUCAAAAACAGUGUAGCCUAUCGCCUGGAAAUAGGAAUAGCAUGAAUUGCAAUCUCCAGUCGACACAUAAGUCAAUAUGUGUUAAAGUUCCACAUCUUUCAACAAAAUCAUCUGUAGCCAAUCCGAGAACAUGAGCAACAAAUUUGUUGAAGUCCCUAUCAAGGAGUUGUACCAAAUCAAAAUCUCACGAAAGAGAUGAAAGAUAAAGGAUUGUAAAGGAUAUGCAUCUUUACACCAUAGGUUUAAAGCAGGAGAUUCAGAAAGAAAUGGUGGCGAAUUUUGUAUAUACGGCCGACGAUGGAGUUGACGCUAGCUGUUUGCAACUCGCCUUUUGCGACGUUUUGGUGGCAGGAGAAGCGGAUUAAGAGCUGGAUCCUGGCGAAUCGUCAUUGAUACUCUAAGCUCUAAGAGAUGUCCCUGAGGGAUCUCAGUAUGUUCAAUAAAUCCCUAGCAAUAUCCGCAGCAACGUCAACCUGCAGAAGGAAAGGACAGUCACACUCGAAGGUCACGGAGAAAAACGUGUCAUGCAGCGGUGUAGAGGUUGGGUGAGGACGGACGUUUUGCAUUAUUAUCAAGCAGGUACAAUAACCGCAAGCUUUAGAGGAGAGGGUGAGCAAAAAAAUCGUACAAAAGGAGAGAGAAAACGCGAAGGAAAAUCAGUCGAGUGAGCAUCUCCGACACGGCAACAACUGCAGCCCACUCACCAUCUGCCUUCUUCACCGCAACCAUGGUUAACUACGGCGUCGCUGUUGGGUGUUGUAUCGUUUAAGGCUGGAUCGACCUCUGGUGUACUGAUGUUUCCUGGGUAUGUCGGAUGCCAAACCACAACGCCGCCGCCUUACUACGCAACAACAACAUACGCAACAACCGGUUUCUACACCACCAAGGCUCAAGAGUGUUACACCACAAUUCAUGAUGCCCCGAGCUGCAACACCGAAUCCCGAAGUAUAACUCUGCGUGUCGAUGUCUACGCUGUGAGUCACUACGCCCUGAAGUAUUACUCUGCCCCGAGUUACUACACCACCAAGGGGACGGAGACACUUGACUACGCAUGCUGCCCCAUCUUACCACAUCCGAGGCUUCUAACUGCUACACCGAGGCUCCCGCUGAUUACUCCACCAAAACGGUUGAAUACUACACCGAAGUGGCUAAGUAUUACUCUGCCCCGAUCUACACAACCACAACUGAGGCGGCCAAGUAUUACGCAGUCCCAACUUGCUACACAGAAGCUGCUCUUUCGUGCUACGUUGAACUGAAACACUACAUUGGUGCUCCAGUCUACUACACCACGAUCUACGCUAGACCUAGCUACAACACCACAGCCCCCAAGUACUACACCGAAAAAGCCGCCUAUUACGCAACCACGUACGCUGCCUGGUAUACUACAUCGGGGAUUUUAAGCAUUCCCCUGCUCCAAACUACUACCAAACUUAAAUGUAUACGUAUUAUUACACCAGCAAUUCUCCCGACUAAGUCACCACUACUUACGCUGCUCCGACCUAUACACCGAAGUUAUGAAGUAUUUCUCUGGAUGUGUAGAAAGAUUGCUGAAAUACAAGAUUGAU